CAUCCCCCCAUGAAGGCCAAGCCUUCCACAGCGCCCACAGCCAUCGACCGCGCUCCAGCUGCAGCUGCAGCCGCCCCUGGUAAAUCAGUAACUGGUGUGUGUGUGAGCCAGGCACUGAAUGUCCCAUGGGCAUCGCCAGCCAAGCGCGAGCGGACGCUCCCCGGUCCUUUGAGAAUGUUUGCAAGACUGCUGCUUGCACCAGAACUGAGCGCUCCCUGUGAUGUGUGUGGUGGAGGUGUGGGUUUGAAGCCCAGCAAGGCACGAGCUGUGCAGGGCUCUCAUUUGGAGCUCUGCUUCGUUCCCUGAGUGUGGCUCCAGGCUGUGCCCAGAGCAUCCCCAGGGCUGCAGCCCCAAUCUGGGCAGGGCUGUGCUGUGCAGGAGGACAUUGCGUCAGCUGCUCAGCCUGCAGAGUGGAGUUGGAGUGUGGGUCUGAUUGCUGCCUGUGAUACUCAUACAAACAAAGGAGGGGAGAGGAUCUGUGCCGGCCAGCAGAUAAUGCUGUCACAUGGAUAGGGGAAACAAGCCGUGAAUGUGUGGGCUAGAAAUUAGGCCAUUGUGCUCCAUGAUAUCAGAGAAGGAUCUGAAACAGCUUUCCAGGAAGAGGAAAGAGGAUGAGAGAAGGCCCAGAGGACAGAGCUUGGAAAAAUGACUUCAGAAGUGGCCCCUGGCUGCAGCAGCCCUGGCCCUGAGGACAGGGAGAGCAGCCCCACAACCCCAUUGUGGAGUUGGGCUUUCACCCCAUGCCAGGAGCCCUGUGUCCCACUUCCCCCUUCCUGCCCUUCCAUGCCUUGGGCCGCUUGUUUUCUUCAAGCCCUUUCCUCAUGCGCUGCCCUGGGUCCCACUGCCAUGGAUCCCAGCACCAUAGGUCCCAUCAUCCUGCUUCCCAUGGCCCUGGAUCCCACCACCCUGGGUCCCAGCACCCUUCUUCCCACUAUGCUGGGUCCCAUCACUCUGGAUCCCAUCACCCUGGGUCCCACUGCCAUGGGUCCCAUCACCAUAGGUCCCAUCAUCCUUCUUCCUACCACCAUGGAUCCCAAUGCCACAGGUCCUACCUCACUGUGCCCCACCACUCUGUGCCCCACCACUCUAUGUCCCAUCACUCUGGAUCCCACUGCCAUGGGUCCCAUCACCAUAGGUCCCAUCACUCUGGAUCCCACCACUCUGGAUCCCAUCACCCUUCUUCCCACCACCGUGAGUCCCAUUGCCAGGGGUCCUACCUCACUGUGCCCCACCACUCUAUGUCCUGUCACUCUGGAUCCCAUCACCCUGGGUCCCAUCACCCUUCUUCCCACCACGCUGGGUCCCAUCACCCUGGGACAUGAUCAGUGGGCACUGUGGGGGCAAGGUUGGGUGAUCUUAGAGGUCUUGUCCAACUGGAAUGAUUCCAUGAUUCAAUGAUUCCGUGACAUUGGGAGUGAUGAAGAGAGGCUGUAAUUAGGGGACAGAAGAGGUGGCUGCAGCAGCACUGCACCACCUCUCAUUGCAAUGGGUGUUGGGGUGUCCCAGUGGGUGGCUCUACGUGGGCUGUCACUUUGGUGCCAUGUGUGCCCUACUGCUGAGCAGUGAUUUCCUUUGGCAGAAGCGUUACUGAUCUGUCCCUGUCACUAUAAAAUCUCCCUGGGAGAUUUUAUGACUCUCUUUGAUGGCUUUUUACCCAUUUUUCCCGGCGUUGGGAUAAGACUCAUUGGAUUAUAAUUUCUGAGAUUUUGAGUCUUUUUUCAAGAUAAGUGAUUUUUUUUUCCCCCUUCAGCAGAGAAGUUGAUUUAAUAAGAGAAAAUGAAUGUGAAUGACUCUGCAAGUCUGUAAUGGAGA
Gallus gallus (chicken) is the source of this 1812-nucleotide long non-coding RNA. The record is from Ensembl. Lineage: Eukaryota; Metazoa; Chordata; Aves; Galliformes; Phasianidae.